GACGAACGCUGGCGGCGUGCUUAACACAUGCAAGUGGAGCGACGAACCAGGGCUUGCCCUGGGGCAAAGCCGCGAACGGGUGAGUAACACGUGGGUAACCUGCCUCGAUGAUCGGGACAACCCGGGGAAACCCGAGCUAAUACCGAAUGUGCCCCGCCCACAUCAGUGGGCGGUGUAAUGGAAGCUUCGGCCUCCGCAUCGAGAUGGGCCCGCGGCCCAUUAGCUUGUUGGUGGGGUAAAGGCCUACCAAGGCUCCGAUGGGUAGCUGGUCUGAGAGGACGAUCAGCACACUGGGACUGAGACACGGCCCAGACUCCUACGGGAGGCACCGCAGUGGGGAAUCUUGCGCAAUGCGCGAAAGCGUGACGCAGCAACGCCGCGUGGGGGAAGACGGCCUUAGGGUUGUAAACCCCUUUCAGGAGGGACGAAGGUCGGCGCGUUAAUAGCGUGUCCGACUGACGGUACCUCCACAAGAAGCCCCGGCUAACUACGUGCCAGCAGCCGCGGUAAUACGUAGGGGGCAA
RNAcentral lists this ribosomal RNA (524 nucleotides) under uncultured bacterium. RNAcentral's name for it is "bacterial SSU rRNA". It matches the Rfam family "Bacterial small subunit ribosomal RNA", at positions 28 to 537 of the family's 1533-position model. The record is from RNAcentral.